This 29-nucleotide small RNA is filed under the name Bombyx mori (domestic silkworm). RNAcentral describes it as "piRNA piR-bmo-1468446". The record is from RNAcentral. Lineage: Eukaryota; Metazoa; Arthropoda; Insecta; Lepidoptera; Bombycidae.
UCAAGAUGUUUGCCUUUGUUACUUUAAGC